GAUGAUCGCUGGCGGCGUGCUUAACACAUGCAAGUCGAACGGAAAGGCUCCUGCUUGCAGGGGUACUCGAGUGGCGAACGGGUGAGUAACACGUGGGUGAUCUGCCCUGCACUUCGGGAUAAGCCUGGGAAACUGGGUCUAAUACCGGAUAGGACGAUGGUUUGGAUGCCAUUGUGGAAAGUUUUUUCGGUGUGGGAUGAGCUCGCGGCCUAUCAGCUUGUUGGUGGGGUAAUGGCCUACCAAGGCGUCGACGGGUAGCCGGCCUGAGAGGGUGUACGGCCACAUUGGGACUGAGAUACGGCCCAGACUCCUACGGGAGGCAGCAGUGGGGAAUAUUGCACAAUGGGCGCAAGCCUGAUGCAGCGACGCCGCGUGGGGGAUGACGGCCUUCGGGUUGUAAACUCCUUUCGCUAGGGACGAAGCGCAAGUGACGGUACCUGGAGAAGAAGCACCGGCUAACUACGUG
RNAcentral lists this ribosomal RNA (466 nucleotides) under uncultured bacterium. Its description in RNAcentral is "partial 16S ribosomal RNA". It matches the Rfam family "Bacterial small subunit ribosomal RNA", at positions 28 to 507 of the family's 1533-position model. The record is from RNAcentral.